CCCUCUCGUUCACCUUCAUCAGUCAAACACGCCAUUCCAUUCCUUGUAACUCCCCUCAACCAUCGGCGGCAACAAGCAUCAACCUUCCGUCCAACUGUGGCGUGGGUGGCUUUCUUCCGACGGAAUGGUGGUCCGGCGAACCUGGGCUUCCCCUCCGGCAACCUUGGCGAACAGCAACCUUCUUCUGCCUGGAGCUUCGAACUCGAGUAAGAGGUGUUCAGCUGUUCUGAACGUGUUUUGGUGGUGAACCGGCGACCUAAGCUUCUUUCGGCGUCUCCUCUGUUCUCCGCGAUCGACGAUGGUAGCGUUGGUAUCCUUUUUCCUUCUCCAGCGUAACUUGGUGGUCCGGGAACUACGUGUUUCCAGGUGCGGCGUUCUUCCCGUUCUCCUCCUUGAUGCAACGGGCAGAGUGGCGUGUGUUGCACCUCCCGAGCAACCACCGGCUGUCACCCUUUUAAUGAAGCAACCAGUGGCUUCCUCUGGCGUAGCUUGUGGUCUCCCGGCGUGGCUGAGCUGAGCACCGAUGGUGGCAGGCAACAUGGUGGCUGAUGGAGUUGGCGAGCAGUCUGGAGUGCCGCUUGCCAGUACGUGAAAAAGACAAAAGGGUUCCCGGUAGAUUGGCUUUAUGAGUUGAGCCUUUGUUGGUGUUGUUUUUGGAUGGUUAAGCGAAUGAGGUGUUGCUGUAUCUCUAGAUCCCGUGUGUAUUGACUCUUGAGGAGAUGAUGGAUUGGUGCGAUGAGAUGAUUGAGCUGGUAAAGUGGACAGUGUGGGGACUUAUGUGUGAACGGACCGGUAGUACGUGAAGCUCCGGACUGCCAUUUGGUUACUUGUGACUUGUGGGCAACAUGGGAAACUCAUUCCGGUUGCCAGAGAUGGUAACUAACCCGUUGAGCUUGGAAUCUCAAUAGAGGGUGUAUACACUUAAAGUUGCUAGCUCUGUUUCCAUUGGGCUGCGGUCCUUGUUAUUGCGAUGACACUAUGCAUGUGAUCCGGAUCGUUGUGAUGACUACGUGAUACAUGUUUGUUGAUGAUUUGGAGCCCUCCACACUGAUCCACUAUGAAUUGAGCCGUGGUGCUGACUCCAUGGUAUAAGAACUUGGAAUUGUGAAUCUUGUAACAUGUAGUUGUCACUGUGACAUGUAGUUGCCAAUAUGUGAAUUUGUACUCUUUGCUUUUGAGCA
Ipomoea nil (Japanese morning glory) is the source of this 1181-nucleotide long non-coding RNA. RefSeq lists it as uncharacterized. The record is from RefSeq and is a predicted model, not a curated record. The transcript has 3 exons. Lineage: Eukaryota; Viridiplantae; Streptophyta; Magnoliopsida; Solanales; Convolvulaceae.